This is a long non-coding RNA of Cuculus canorus (common cuckoo), 3294 nucleotides long. RefSeq lists it as uncharacterized. The transcript is spliced from 4 exons. The record is from RefSeq and is a predicted model, not a curated record. Lineage: Eukaryota; Metazoa; Chordata; Aves; Cuculiformes; Cuculidae.
CAGACGGACACGCGCGCCCGGGUGCGGGGCCGGGGGCCGCCCCGCCGCACUUUGCACCUGUUCACCCAGCGCUCAUGAAAAAUGCAUCCAGCUCCCAGCCCGAGCGAAGGAGGUCCCGGUGCAGGCAGAUCCCAGCGGGAGGCAAAACGAGUCUGGUAGAAGCUCCUCUUAUCCUUCCACUGUACGUGAUCAGUCUCUUUAAUAAUUGUGCAAGGCAGGACUAUCCCACUGGCUCCAGCAGCGUCUUACCCGGAGAGGGUUCGGGCGGAUAAAUAAUUAAAAUCCUAUCCCUUGGCUUAGCGAAGAGAGAAGAAAAAUAUUGACUCGGAUCCUUCUUCUUUUCCAUACAUCGGCUGCACCCGGAUUCGCUCUGGAUAGUGCAGGUGAAGGUGGGGGGGCGAAAGGAAAGGAAAGAGGGGGAAAAAAGCUCCCCCUCCUCGUCCCCGGCUGCCUGCUCGGAAGGCUUUUCUGUCUCUGUCCUGGCGGGCUGCGCCUCUCCCUGAAGCCGCCUCGCCGCGCAGGAUGGAGGAAGCACUGAAGGGCAAACGGGUCUCUCUGCUCCCCCUUUAUUCCAAGGCUGGGCGGCUCUGCUUUAGAUAUCCCCGCUCCGGGCAUGAAGGUACUGGAAAGAAAGAAAGUUCUUACCUGCUAUUUUCUAAGCCUAAUACAUCCGAUCCGGGUUUUAAGGACAUAUUUUUUAAUUAUAGGGGCGGGGGGGUGGGUGAGGGGGAAAUGGUCUGUGAGCAUUUCAAUUCCUCAUGUUCGGUCCCAUUAAAUUUUCAGAUGCCGUUUUAGGAUUUUUUCCUGUUUAUUUACUUAGCAAUCCCAGCAGAUGAAGAGAGAAAAAGAAAAAAAAAAAAAAAAGGAACACCAGAUUGUGUAGGCGACAGGCUCGGAUAUUGGACCAGAGGAGAGAGAGAUCAGUCCCAGGAGGAUGUUGGUAAAGGAAAGGAGGCGGCUCUCGGUCGCUCUGCCAGUGUAAUGAUGGUGCUCACACAUGUAGGACUCCUCGGGUGCGGGGUAUCCUUUGCUCUCUGGGCUAAACUGGCUACAAGGCAUUCAAAAACACCGCCACGGAAGCAAGCGAAGCUGGGAGACGACUGUUGUUUAAAAGCAGCCCGCUGAAGGAUGUUUGUGUUGCCAAAACCUUUCCCGGCAUCUGUAAAAUCUGAGAGGACAAGCUGGCACAAUAGGCUGAGAAAAGUAGGACUUAGAGAUAACCCAAGCAGAAUUGACAGGGUUUAAUUACACAGACUGGAAUCUCCUUGAAGUGAAAAAGGCUUGUACAGACCUUCCUUCUGUCAAGACUUCCAGUGACACCCCAUUACUCAGCUUGAAGAGAAAGGGAGUGUGUCGGUCCUUCAGUGCCAUGGACUGAGACUCUUCUGUUCCGCAUUCUGCAGAACCCACUUGCCUUUGUCAGGAAAUGAAAGUUUCUGUCCUCGGGUUUGGAGACAGCCUUACUAUGGCAAAUCUGUGCCUGGCUGGAUUGUUUGCUCUGCAGCCAGCCCAAAACAAUACACCACCAACAGAUGUGUGAACUUUUCCAUUCAGUGUAAUGAAGUGUUAGUUGCAAAACAGAAUUUUGUCGAUUUAAAUUGCCUCAUGUGCAUCGGGCUGUGAAAGAGGUUUAAAAUAAAUCAUGAAUAAGUUAUAAAUAUUGUAUUUUUGGAAUUAUCAGCUCUUUAAGUCCACUGGCAACAGAAAGCGAAAGCUUAGGCAGAAAGUGGCCUGAUGUCUCCCGUUAAAGUUACCAGUGGUUUUGGAUGAAAUUACAGUAUUUUGAUGACAAAGCACCGAGUCCAUAGAAAAAGCUGAGAAGACACAAGUUUUUAAAACUUGCUGAAAAAAAAAGAGAAGGCUUUGGGCUGAAAUCGAUCGUUCAACUUCUGGCAAAGAAGAAUAUUGAGAAAAUGUGCACCGCAUUUCAGCAUAGUGUUUGAUAUGGAGUUGUUGGAUGGUUGAAAGUAGCUUUUGAGGGUAAGAAUUUUCUAUCAGUAGUUUUUUUUCUCCGACAUAGUUAGAAAAAUAAUUUUGAUGCUUCUAACUUGCCAUGUGCAUGAGUUACAACUCCGCUUUCUGUGCAGACUGAAAAUCUUCCUUGCUGAACCGAGAGAAGAUGCAGUUAGGGAUAAAGAAACCACAGCUCCCAAUGAUUUACUUUAAACUGUGUGCCUGCUAGCACUUUUUGUCUUUCCUGGAGAGAAUUUCAGUGGAAGUCUAUUGUCGCGUUCUUUACAGCCCUGUGAUGGCAGCGCCAAGGAGUACUGCCAGCCUUAAUGCUGGUAGAGACAGAAGUCAAUGUUAGUGCACUGCAUGGGCUUGUCUGCUGCCUUCCCUUGGUCUCACAUGCUUGACAAAAUCCCCUGACUGGCUGAAUAAUCAGUCACCUCAUUACGUUUGAGGAGGUGGGACUCUGCUGUGACACAGCUUUCAUGAGAAAAUAGUCACCAUUCCAUCUACUAGUAUUACUGGCAAAGGAUCACUCUAGAAAGAUGUUCUUAAUAUUAACUCCAAGGUGUUUGCUGCUCAAAAGAUCAGAAACUAGAGGUGGAUACUUGGUAGUGUUAAUGUAUGAAAACUGCAAGCAAAUGAACACCUCUUGAUUUUUAAUUUACCUACUGAGUGAAUUAUCAUGGAGCAAAGCCUAAACUUUACAUUAUUGUUGGAUAUAAAUGUUUCCUGCAAGUUUUCUUUUGUUUCAAAUUCCAAUAUUCCUCUCUAUUUUUUUCAUCAGGUUUUGGUCAGUUACUGCUGGAGUUUGGAAAAUUAAGAAGAGGUAGACCAAGGCAGUGACUCAAAGAUGGAUUAUAGGAACAUACUAGAUGAUUGCUAAAUCUUUGGGGGAAAGAGGCUGUAUGUUCCUGGAUUUAUAAAGAAAUGGAAGCAUGGUGACGUAAUUCUGGUUAGGAUCUUUGAACAAAGAGUGGUCUUGGUGAUGCUGAUGAGAGUAAUAUUGGGAUAUAUUCCAUCUUUGCCUCUUAACGAUCUUGUUUGGAGACAUUUGGAAUCUCUUAUGGAAAAUACUCAAACUCACUCUCCCUUACCGCACUUAAAAAAAUUCAGUCUCGGCUUCAUUCUACAAAGCUGCUUUGCUUUAAGUAGCAGUUCUGCAAACCAUAACUUCACAUAUUUCUUUUACUUUAUGCUUUAUUACUAAGAAUAUUUGCAUGAAAACAGGAUCUUUGUUUAAAAGUUCCUGCUUCUUAUUCAUCACAGCUCAUUGGGUUGGAAGCAAUUACAGUACCCUCUACAGAAGGCUCUGAUCCCUUCAGAGCAGGAAAAUAUAAGCAG